CGGACUCCUACAGGAGCCGGACUCUGCCAACAACGUCAACUGCAAGCGGACUCCUACGGGAGCCGGACCUCUCCUUCGACCCUAAUCACGAGGGGACUUCGUCCGGGCUCCUACGAGAGCCGGACUCCGUCUUCAACUUCGACGGCCACAGACAGACUAUGUCCGGACUCCGUCCGGACCCCCACGGGAGCCGGGCUCCACCCACGACCCCGAUCGCAAGGAGGACUCCGCCCGGAUCCAUACGAGGGACGAACUCCAAUCGCUGCCGAGCUUCAGCCAGCAGAUCUGCACUCCCAGGCCACAAUCACGGCCACGAUCCUGCUCCACUUCCUGCGGCGGACUCCGUGUAGCUCCAUCACUCCCUGACAGGCCACAGUAACGGUCGCAACACUGCUCCACUCUCUGCGGUGGAUCCCGCGCCCACGCGGCUCCAUUACUGCCUGACAGGCCACGAUAAAUGGCCGCGAUCCUGCUCCACCUCCUGCAGCAGAUAUCGCACGAUUCUCCCAUCCACUGGCAAGACGCCGCAGCAUCUGCAUCCCACUUCCCACGGCAGAUUCCAUGUGGCGCGCCCCAGUGAUGGCCACGGCUCCGCUCCACUACUCUUCGCAGUAGAUUCCUCCUGACUAAGGGCGGCCCACUACCUGGCGG
RNAcentral lists this long non-coding RNA (651 nucleotides) under Elaeis guineensis (African oil palm). Its description in RNAcentral is "long non-coding RNA (EGUI_LNC064245)". The record is from RNAcentral. Lineage: Eukaryota; Viridiplantae; Streptophyta; Magnoliopsida; Arecales; Arecaceae.